Molecule: ribosomal RNA, 503 nt
Filed under: uncultured bacterium
Lineage: Bacteria
Description: partial 16S ribosomal RNA
Rfam family: Bacterial small subunit ribosomal RNA
Source: RNAcentral
AUUGAACGCUGGCGGCAUGCCUUACACAUGCAAGUCGAACGGCAGCACGGGAGCUUGCUCCUGGUGGCGAGUGGCGAACGGGUGAGUAAUACAUCGGAACGUACCCAGUAGUGGGGGAUAACGCACCGAAAGGUGCGCUAAUACCGCAUACGACCUAUGGGUGAAAGCGGGGGACCGUAAGGCCUCGCGCUAUUGGAGCGGCCGAUGUCUGAUUAGCUAGUUGGCGGGGUAAAGGCCCACCAAGGCGACGAUCAGUAGCUGGUCUGAGAGGACGAUCAGCCACACUGGGACUGAGACACGGCCCAGACUCCUACGGGAGGCAGCAGUGGGGAAUUUUGGACAAUGGGGGCAACCCUGAUCCAGCAAUGCCGCGUGUGCGAAGAAGGCCUUCGGGUUGUAAAGCACUUUUGUCAGGGAAGAAAUCUUUCGGGCUAAUACCCCCGGAAGGAUGACGGUACCUGAAGAAUAAGCACCGGCUAACUACGUGCCAGCAGCCGCGGUAA